AUAUAGUUUUAAUUUCUCAAAAUCUAUAAAUAAAAUACUAUAUCACAUAUAAAUUUGAAUAACAUAUGUCAGAGUACCUAAACUUAACAUAUAAAUUGGUUUGAUUUGAAUAUUUUGAUAGAGAAUCAGUAGACAUUUCAACUAUUUUUGGUGUUUUGAGUAUAUUUUAGCUAUUUUAGAAAUUUACUUUUGAAUAUUUGUAUAUAUUUUCAAGUAUUUUAGACAACUUAAAAGUAUCUUAUAUAUUUUGAAUGUUUUUAAUAUACAUUGAAUCUAAAAAUAAUUAAUAUAUUUAGAUAUAUAAAUCUAUUUCAGAUACAUUCGAGUACCCGAAAUACUUCGGUUCGGGUCGGGUUCGGUUUCGGUUCUCUGGAUACCAAAAUUUUGAACCCGUUCGGAUAUUUAAUCAAUUUCGGUUCGGGUUCGGUACUACUUUUUCGGAUCGGGUUCGGUUCGGUUCUCAGGAUUCGAGUUUUUUGCCGAGCCCUGAUCUCAACCAGUUUAAAUGACGACGUUUCCUUCUCAUCGUCACGUGAUGAGAAAAAUGGGAAAAUAUAUUAAAAAAACUUAAAAAGACAAAGAAGGGAGUUAAUGGGCUUAUUAAGUAGGGCCUAGUUAUUAAAUGGCCCGUAUAAAAGAUUGUCUGUGUCCUUUCCAAAAGAGACAAAUCUGCCCCUUCUAUUUUGGCUUCAAUCUAAUAGUCAACGCUCCUUUUCUUGUCUUUGUCGACACUCACUCUUCUUGUAGUCCUUCUGCUGUGCUUCAGGGUCCCCACGUUCUGUUUUCUUUACCUUUGGUUUUGCAAACCUCUCUGACUUUACCCUUAUCUUCUCUCUUGUAAUAAAAGAAGACUGUCGUUUUUAGCUUCUGAAAAUCGUUGAUAUGGUAAUAAGCUCGAAUAUGUGGAAAUAAUUCGGAUUUUCUUACAGUUUUAGUUGUUAACAAUGGCUAAUCACAAAUAAAUCGUAGUUGAAACGUUCGAAUAUCACACUUAGAUCUUUAUUAG
RNAcentral lists this long non-coding RNA (1006 nucleotides) under Brassica napus (rape). RNAcentral's name for it is "long non-coding RNA (BNAP_LNC019310)". Lineage: Eukaryota; Viridiplantae; Streptophyta; Magnoliopsida; Brassicales; Brassicaceae. The record is from RNAcentral.